RNAcentral lists this ribosomal RNA (480 nucleotides) under uncultured bacterium. Its description in RNAcentral is "partial 16S ribosomal RNA". It matches the Rfam family "Bacterial small subunit ribosomal RNA", at positions 28 to 523 of the family's 1533-position model. The record is from RNAcentral.
GACGAACGCUGGCGGCGUGCUUAACACAUGCAAGUCGAACGGUAAGGCCCUUUCGGGGGUACACGAGUGGCGAACGGGUGAGUAACACGUGGGUGAUCUGCCCUGCACUUCGGGAUAAGCCUGGGAAACUGGGUCUAAUACCGGAUAGGACUACGCGAUGCAUGUCGUGUGGUGGAAAGCUUUUGCGGUGUGGGAUGGGCCCGCGGCCUAUCAGCUUGUUGGUGGGGUGAUGGCCUACCAAGGCGACGACGGGUAGCCGGCCUGAGAGGGUGUCCGGCCACACUGGGACUGAGAUACGGCCCAGACUCCUACGGGAGGCAGCAGUGGGGAAUAUUGCACAAUGGGCGCAAGCCUGAUGCAGCGACGCCGCGUGAGGGAUGACGGCCUUCGGGUUGUAAACCUCUUUCAACGCCGACGAAGCGGAAGUGACGGUAGGCGUAGAAGAAGCACCGGCCAACUACGUGCCAGCAGCCGCAGUAA